This 1469-nucleotide ribosomal RNA is filed under the name uncultured Bordetella sp. RNAcentral describes it as "partial 16S-23S ribosomal RNA intergenic spacer". It matches the Rfam family "Bacterial small subunit ribosomal RNA". The record is from RNAcentral. Lineage: Bacteria; Pseudomonadati; Pseudomonadota; Betaproteobacteria; Burkholderiales; Alcaligenaceae.
CUGGAUCCUGGCUCAGAUUGAACGCUGGCGGAUGCUUUACACAUGCAAGUCGAACGGUGCACGGAUCUCUGGUCUGGUGGCGAGGGCGAACGGGUGAGUACGUAUCGGAACGUGCCUAGUAGCGGGGGAUAACUACGCGAAAGGUAGCUAAUACCGCUACUGCUCCCGGGGGAAAGCGGGGGGACCUUCGGGCCUCGCACUAUUAGAGCGGGCCGAUAUCGGAUUAGCUAGUUGGUGGGGUAACGGCUCACCAAGGCGACGAUCCGUAGCUGGUUUGAGAGGACGACCAGCCACACUGGGACUGAGACACGGCCCAGACUUACGGGAGGCAGCAGUGGGGAAUUUUGGACAAUGGGGGAAACCCCGAUCCAGCCAUCCUGGCAAAAGGAUGAAGCGGCCUUCGGGUUGUAAAGCACUUUUUUGGCAGGAGAAACGGCACGGGAUAAUACCCCGUGCAACUGACGGUACCUGCAGAAUAAGCACCGGCUAACUACGUGCCAGCAGCCGCGGUAAUACGUAUAGGGUGCAAGCGUUAAUCGGAAUUACUGGGCGUAAAGCGUGCGCAGGCGGCGAAAGAAAGAGGAAAUCCCAGAGCUAACUUUUGGAACUGCAUUUUUAACUACCGAGCGAGAGUGUGUCAGAGGGAGGUGGAAUUCCGCGUGUAGCAGUGAAAAUGCGUAGAUGCGGAGGAACACUGAUGGCGAAGGGUAGCCUCCUGGGAUAACACUGACGCUCAUGCACGAAAGCGUGGGGAGCAAACAGUGAUUGACACCUGGUAGUCCACGCCUCAAAACGAUGUCAACUAGCUGUUGUGGGGCCUCGGGCCUUGGUAGCGCAGCUAACGCGUGAAGUUGACCGCCUGGGGAGUACGGUCGCAAGAUUAAAACUCAAAGGAAUUGACGGGGACUCCGCACAAGCGGUGGAUACGUGGAUUAAUUCGGAUGUGGGGGAAUUGUGGCGAAAACCUUACCUACCCUUGACAUGUUCAAAUCCCGAAGAGAUUUGGGAGUGCUCGCAAGAGAACCGAACACAGGUGCUGUAUGCUGUCGUCAGCUCGUGUCGUGAGAUGUUGUUAAGUCCGCAACGAGCGCAACCUGUCAUUAGCUGCUACGAAAGGGCACCUAAUGAGACUGCCGGUGACAAACCGAGGAAGGUGGGGAUGACGUCAAGUCCGCGGCCUGGGGUCACACGUCAUACAAUAAUGGGACAGAGGGUCGCCAACCCGCGAGGGGGAGCCAAUCCCAGAAACCCGAUCGUAGUCCGAUCGCAGUCUGCAACUCGACUGCGUGAAGUCGGAAUCUCGCUAGUAAUCGCGGACUUGCAUGUCGCGGUGAAUACGUUCCUCGGGUCUUGUACACAACGCCCGUCACACCAUGGGAGUGGGUUUUACCAGAAGUAGUUAGCCUAACCGUAAGGAGGGCGAUUACCACGGUAGGAUUCAUGACUGGGGUGAAGUCGUAACAAGGUAG